RNAcentral lists this ribosomal RNA (435 nucleotides) under uncultured bacterium. RNAcentral describes it as "partial 16S ribosomal RNA". It matches the Rfam family "Bacterial small subunit ribosomal RNA", at positions 29 to 507 of the family's 1533-position model. The record is from RNAcentral.
AACGAACGCUGGCGGCAUGCCUAACACAUGCAAGUCGAACGAUUGCCUUCGGGUGAUAGUGGCGCACGGGUGCGUAACGCGUGGGAAUCUGCCCUUAGGUUCGGAAUAACAGCUGGAAACGGCUGCUAAUACCGGAUGAUAUCGCGAGAUCAAAGAUUUAUCGCCUGAGGAUGGGCCCGCGUUGGAUUAGGUAGUUGGUGGGGUAAAGGCCUACCAAGCCGACGAUCCAUAGCUGGUCUGAGAGGAUGAUCAGCCACACUGGGACUGAGACACGGCCCAGACUCCUACGGGAGGGAGCAGUGGGGAAUAUUGGACAAUGGGCGCAAGCCUGAUCCAGCAAUGCCGCGUGAGUGAUGAAGGCCCUAGGGUUGUAAAGCUCUUUUACCCGGGAAGAUAAUGACUGUACCGGGAGAAUAAGCCCCGGCUAACUCCGUG